Molecule: ribosomal RNA, 419 nt
Filed under: uncultured Bacteroidales bacterium
Lineage: Bacteria; Pseudomonadati; Bacteroidota; Bacteroidia; Bacteroidales
Description: bacterial SSU rRNA
Rfam family: Bacterial small subunit ribosomal RNA
Source: RNAcentral
CCGGCGACCGGCGCACGGGUGAGUAACACGUAUCCAACCUUCCGGUUACUCGGGAAUAGCCUUUCGAAAGAAAGAUUAAUGCCCGAUGGUAUAACAAGUCUGCAUGGAGUUGUUAUUAAAGAUUUAUCGGUAACCGAUGGGGAUGCGUUCCAUUAGGCAGUUGGCGGGGUAACGGCCCACCAAACCGACGAUGGAUAGGGGUUCUGAGAGGAAGGUCCCCCACAUUGGAACUGAGACACGGUCCAAACUCCUACGGGAGGCAGCAGUGAGGAAUAUUGGUCAAUGGGCGAGAGCCUGAACCAGCCAAGUAGCGUGAAGGAUGACUGCCCCUAUGGGUUGUAAACUUCUUUUAUGCGGGAAUAACAAGCGGCACGUGUGCCGUUCUGCAUGUACCCGUAUGAAUAAGCAUCGGCUAACUC